GAACGGAGGAGAGAGAAGGGAGCUGACAGGAGCUGCAGGAAAGGUAAGUAGCCACUCUCUGCCAGCCCACAAUAGGACCGCCGGGCUUGUAAUGAGCCCGGCGGUCCCUGGCGGCUGCAGUCCUGUUGGGGGCUGGCAGAGAGCUGUUACUUACCUUUCCUGCAGCUCCUGUCAGCUCCCUUCUCUCUCCUCCAUUCC
Molecule: microRNA precursor, 198 nt
Filed under: Pelobates cultripes (western spadefoot toad)
Lineage: Eukaryota; Metazoa; Chordata; Amphibia; Anura; Pelobatidae
Source: RNAcentral